Molecule: RNA transcript, 2322 nt
Organism: Helicoverpa armigera (cotton bollworm)
Lineage: Eukaryota; Metazoa; Arthropoda; Insecta; Lepidoptera; Noctuidae
Exons: 3
Source: RefSeq, a predicted model, not a curated record
GUGGGUGGAUGCAUAGUGUGUUUUCGGAAGAGGAGAUUGACAGUGUAAUAUUUGACCACAGAUAAUACAUAUAAUACGGGUUUGACCAUAGUAAUAUAGGUUUUGACAAUGACAGAUGACAGCAAGUGAAAAAGUCAACAAGAAGAAAAAAAGCAAUUAAAUAGUAUAAUAUCAACAAUGAACAACAUUUGGAAAUUAAUAUAAAUUAUAUUCGUAUAAGUGGGUUGGAAGUAUUAUAUAAUAAUUAUAACCUGGAGAAAUUCUCAUAAUUUGAGAAGGUGAGAAGCAGAGGAAGAACAUCAAGCCCAGACACAGCUUAACUCCAAUAGAAGAUUGGAUUUCAAAGCAGCCCACACUGAAGGAGAUUCCUGAACCAGAGCAAGUAUGCCAUGACCCAUGAGGCAUCGCAAUGGUGGAGGGAGGUCAUUCCAACAGUGUGUGGCCGCAAACUUGAAAGACCCUCUGAAAGCUGUAGUACGAUGCAUCGGAACAACAAGAGGACAAACAAUGGACCGAAUACCAUGCUUUAGCUGGUUAUGUUUCCAUGUUAGCUUUUUGUAGAGAUAAUUCGGUUUUUCCGUUCUAAUUGUGCCGAACAGUAAACUAGCCAAAUGUAGCCUCCUCCUAGCAGCCAUUUUUAACAAGUUAAGUUCGUUAAUGAAUGGUGUUACAUGACUUCUGCGAGGAAUAUUUACACAGAAACGAGCACAAGCAUUUUGGAUCCGCUGGAUGACAUGUACAGUUUUUGAAAGAAGGCAUGGUCCAUAUACUACAUCACAAUAAUUUAACUUUGAUAGAAUAAGACUGUCUACAAGUUGUUUGCGCAAGGGAAUAGCCAGGUCCAAAAAUCCUUGUGAUAUCCUCGUCAGUGCGGAUCCUUUGUGUGGAGUCACCAGGUGUCUUCCGUGCAAGUAUGCGGCCGCGUUUAGUCCACACAAAUCUCCAAUUGAAGUGGCUAGCUGCGUCACGCGCCUUCCGAAACAACCGGCGAUUUAUUUUCGUGAGGCGCUCGUUAAGGAAGAACCGCUGAGGAGCACCAGGCAUGUCGAGGUCGGCUGUCGUCGCCCCGCGUCGCACGCGCGCGCUGGCCAGCAGCUCGUCGCGCAGGUCGCGGCGCGCCAGGCGCACGACUAUGGCGCGCGGCCGAGUUACUGCCGGCCCGGCAGAAUUUGUAGCAUUGAGCUGCUUCCCGCCGACACGUUCCGCACUGACAAUAUCGCGUUCCUCCACCUUGACUCCUAGUUUGAGCCCUAUGAUCUGGAUGAUGUGGACGGGGUUAUCAGAAGAGGCCUCAGGUAUGUUGGAGACUUCAAUGUCGUUGCCUAGAAGGUCCUGGUCUCUGUCAUUCAACUCCCGCCUCAACUCCUCCACGACCCCGUCCACCGAAGAAUGACCCGAAGAAGGCUGCUGCUCUAAUGCGCUUAUUCUGGCUUCAAGGCUAUCUAUACGAGUAUUGCAGUGAUGCAUAGAAUUUUUUAGCUGCACCAUCUCCACCUCCAUUUCCCUACGGAACUCCUGUAACUCUCCACGCAUCGCUCUCAACUCGUCCAAGAGUGGCCUAAUGUCAGCGGCGGCCACAGAGGCAUAGUAAGGUGAAGGAGUAGGAGCAGACGAUGGAUUCCCCGGUUGUUCCUCGCAGAUCUCAGGCGCUCGGCGGCAACUAUCAAUCGCCGUGUUCGGUGGACUUGCCUCCACGCAUGCAAGCCCAGGGCUUUCAGCAAGGAGAGGACUUACAGCUGAACCUCUGACCGGAGUCUCAGCCCCAUUAUCCCUGACCUGGUUCCUCUUGCAUUCCGGACAACGCCAGCUUGCAGGAACCACUGCUUUAGUAGCAACUCUAACGCAUUCACGGUGGUAUAGCAGCUGGCACUUGCCACACCUAGCGCCCUCUAACGUCUUGAUGUAGCGACCGCAUCCUCCACACUUGGUUCCGGGCAUGAUGAUAGACGAGAAGCCAACUUAAGAUCAAGUGGGUUCAACGUUUGCCCGCUAGAUGGCGCCACUAAGCUUAAAGACUAAAUGGUUCAGCGUUACGCUCGCUAGAUGGCGCCACUGAGGCUGACUCAAUUGAUCGAUGACAGGUGCAGCGAGAAUAUCUUUCCACUGUCAACCAGUUCUUAACGAGAAUAUCCUCGAUAUCAACAAACAGUUGCUGGGAAUGGAGGGUAGGAAUUAUUUACGCCAAGUCACUGCAAAUAUUGUUUUAACAAAUGUAGUUUGUUACACACACUGGUUUCUACCAACUAAAAUGUAUGUCACUAUUUGUUUCACUGUGUACACAAUAAAGUUAAUGACUAUGCAGAUACUUGAGUUUAUGAUUUU